UUUCCGUAGGUGAACCUGCGGAAGGAUCAUUAUCCAUCAAACCAGGUGUGGUUGCGGCCCUCGGGGGCUAUCUCCCGGGUGGUAGGGGUAACACUCUCACGCGCCACAUUUCUGAACCCUUUUUUUACGAGCACCUUUCGUUCUCCUUCGGUGGGGCAACCUGCCGUUGGAACUCAUCAAACCCUUUUUUGCAUACAGCAUUACCUGUUCCGAUACAAACAAUCGUUACAACUUUCAACAAUGGAUCUCUUGGCUCUGGCAUCGAUGAAGAACGCAGC
RNAcentral lists this unclassified non-coding RNA (278 nucleotides) under uncultured fungus. RNAcentral describes it as "sequence contains ITS1, 5.8S rRNA gene". The stretch from base 230 to 278 matches the Rfam family "5.8S ribosomal RNA", at positions 1 to 49 of the family's 154-position model. Lineage: Eukaryota; Fungi. The record is from RNAcentral.